RNAcentral lists this ribosomal RNA (649 nucleotides) under uncultured bacterium. RNAcentral's name for it is "bacterial SSU rRNA". It matches the Rfam family "Bacterial small subunit ribosomal RNA", at positions 54 to 749 of the family's 1533-position model. The record is from RNAcentral.
CAUGCAAGUCGAACGCACUCUUCGGAGUGAGUGGCAGACGGGUGAGUAACGCGUGGGAACCUACCCUUUACUACGGAAUAACUGAGGGAAACUUCAGCUAAUACCGUAUACGCCCUACGGGGGAAAGAUUUAUCGGUAAAGGAUGGGCCCGCGUUGGAUUAGCUAGUUGGUGGGGUAAUGGCCUACCAAGGCGACGAUCCAUAGCUGGUCUGAGAGGAUGAUCAGCCACACUGGGACUGAGACACGGCCCAGACUCCUACGGGAGGCAGCAGUGGGGAAUAUUGGACAAUGGGGGAAACCCUGAUCCAGCCAUGCCGCGUGAGUGAUGAAGGCCUUAGGGUUGUAAAGCUCUUUCAGUGGGGAAGAUAAUGACGGUACCCACAGAAGAAGCCCCGGCUAACUUCGUGCCAGCAGCCGCGGUAAUACGAAGGGGGCUAGCGUUGUUCGGAUUUACUGGGCGUAAAGCGCACGUAGGCGGAUUGUUAAGUCAGAGGUGAAAUCCUGGAGCUCAACUCCAGAACUGCCUUUGAUACUGGCAAUCUCGAGUCCGGAAGAGGUGAGUGGAACUCCUAGUGUAGAGGUGGAAUUCGUAGAUAUUAGGAAGAACACCAGUGGCGAAGGCGGCUCACUGGUCCGGUACUGACGCUGA